CGACUAACCAAGACACCGAGAGGCAGAGACGACCUCCCCCGGUCCUAGAGGGACCGCUACGGACCCGGACAACUCCCGCGGGGGGCGGGGUUCUGACGAACUUCCGGCUGCGCCGGCCGCGGGGUGCGUCGAGGCACCAGAGCUUCGAGCGGCCCCAAAUCCGAUAUUUGAGUACCUGCAAAAUACCAGGUGUAUUGUAGAUGUUUGGAAUAUAGCAGUGAAGAAAACGGAUGAAAGUCUCUGCCCUCAGGAGUUGGUAUUCAAGAAGGAAACAGGCGGUUUAAAAAAAAAAAA
Long non-coding RNA from Lynx canadensis (Canada lynx), 294 nucleotides. RefSeq lists it as uncharacterized. NCBI's taxonomy places the organism in Eukaryota, Metazoa, Chordata, Mammalia, Carnivora, Felidae. The transcript is spliced from 2 exons. The record is from RefSeq and is a predicted model, not a curated record.